AUAACUUUUAUGAUCUUCGUGAUAUUGAGUCUACUUCAGAUGAGGCUACAAAGCUGGCUUCCACAAGAACAAAAGGAUUUGGACAUUUAUUUCAUGAACAGCAUUGAAUUGAGAUGGGCUGGGCCAGAUCUCCAGGGAAAUUCCAACUGCUGAAGAAAGCAGUUGUAGUAACACUUCCUUCCGUAUCAUAGCUGAUCCUGUAUCUCCUGCUUAGUUCUGGCAGCAGAAUGGUUAUCAUGCUGCCUUUCACAGGAAAUCACGGUGUCCUACCUGCUGUAGCUUCUGAUAGACUGAGGAACUCAUUUAGUGUCUCUGACUCACCAUCAUCCUCUUUAUUCAGCUGAUGGACUACGCUGGAAGCGAUCAGUUCUUCUAUUGAACUGGACUUGUUAUUAGUCAGAGUCAAAAGUGAUUUUAAGAGAAUUUGGAGAGCUGAUUUCCUGUGGCCUUCAAAUGAAAUCUACAUCCAACUAAAAUGAAAUAUUUCAGUUUAUAAUGUUUAUCGGAGCUUUCCUAAAAGACAUGUAAGCUUACUAGGCUACUGGACAAAAGGAACUCUGGUUUCUCUGUUCAUAACUGUGUUUUGCUUGUGGCUCAAAUAAUUAGGUAUAAUUGGAACAGGAGUCACUGUCCCUGGAGGUUUUCAAGAAAAGUGGAGAUACGGCACUGAGGGACAUGAUUUAGUGGGCAUGGUGGUGAUGAGCUGAUGGUUAGACUUGCUGUUCUUAGAGAUCUUUUCCAUCCUUAAUUAUUCUAUGAUCCUAUACCUCUUACAUUUAGUCUACGUGCAAAAUAGAUGCCAGAUCUCUGAAUUUCCAUAGAGUUUAGGCACAAUCUAGGCAUCUGCUUGCUCAGAACUGCCAAAUGGAUCAGCUUAGUGAGAGAUAUUUGGGCUCCUUGGGAACUAUCAGAAGCCUGGUCCCAUUAGAGCUAUAGAUGUUGCACCUGUGUAUCCCAAAUCUGUGGGCUCUAGAUACUCGCUUCUAAUCUUGAUCCAGACGGUAAUGUCAGCUGAGAGAGUUGUGUUCCUGGGACCUCCUCAACAUACCUCAUACACCACUGACUUUGGAAAGAAAAAAGAACUUGAUUUCUUAGAUACACAGAGA
RNAcentral lists this long non-coding RNA (1106 nucleotides) under Numida meleagris (helmeted guineafowl). RNAcentral's name for it is "lncRNA (ENSNMEG00000019646.1)". Lineage: Eukaryota; Metazoa; Chordata; Aves; Galliformes; Numididae. The record is from RNAcentral.